Pocillopora verrucosa is the source of this 1384-nucleotide long non-coding RNA. RefSeq lists it as uncharacterized. The record is from RefSeq and is a predicted model, not a curated record. NCBI's taxonomy places the organism in Eukaryota, Metazoa, Cnidaria, Anthozoa, Scleractinia, Pocilloporidae.
CUGAGUUCCCUCACGGUAAUCCUUACGGCAAAAAAGUAAAUAUAGGGUGAAUGUUCAUCUUAUGAACAGAGGUAUCACUCACUAUGCCUGCCUCAACUCAGCUGUUUUCUCUUGUUACUGGUCUUUUGGUUGGAAAUAUCUUUGGUGUUUAUUUAGCUCAAACAUAUGAGCUGCCAGAUCUUCACAAUGCCAUGGAAUACCUUUUCUCCAAAGCACAGGAAUAUGAGAAACCACCUAAAAAGUCUGAUGAUUAAAAAGACAAGUGACAUGGGACAAGCUUUUGUCUUAAAAGUCAGAGAGAACAGUGAGAUGGGAGUAAGAGAACCUUUUGUUGAUCAGCAUGAGAUGGACAUGAAAAAGUGGUCAAGCAUUUCCCACAAAUGAGAAAAAUUAUUUCUUAGAUUUGACCAACAUCAAGACAGAGAAACAACAUUUUCUUCUGCUUAUACAAUCUUCAUCUCUAACCUUAAAAAGCUAGUAUCACUGAAAUGCACUGAAUUUUCCAAAGGAGAUUCAAUAAAUAAAAUCUUUACAUGGACAUAAUGUUAAAACUUUAAGUGGCACACCACAUCACAGGCUUAGAGUGGACCUACCAGUACAUGUGAAGUGUUCUCAACAAAGUCUUAACCAGAGGGCUUGGUGAUAAAGAAUGUGUUGAAACAAGUGCCAUGUAUAUCUGAGUCUGUAGUGAUAGAAGUGUAUUUCUGUGAUUCCAAGUCUACAUGUAAUCUGCUGUGGCCUUAAUAAAACCUCCCUGUAAAGCAUCUUAACUUUGAACAAUCUAAUCUAGGAUUAAAGAUUAUUGUACAGGGAAACAUAGAGUCUUAUUUCAAAUGCUCUUGUUUGUUUUGCUAAAUAGAAGUACAAUAUAUACAUUACUGUAAGCUCAAAUCAGCAAUAUCAACAUCUUGCUAUUAAUCACCAUUGGGUAGCUGUUCAGAAUAAUCUUUAGGUAACUAUAAUAGUUUUUAUAAAUGUUCUGUGUGGUUUUCUUAACCCUUCAACUCCCAUGAGUGACCAAGACAUAAUUUCUCCUUACAAUAUCAAUACAAUAUCAAGCAGACAAGUAAUAAGAAUAAAGGCAAAUAUCAGUUAAGAGAUUAUAACUUGAUCUAAUACCAAAUUCUCCAAACACACAUCACAAGAACUGUACAGCAGAUAGUUAGGAGAAUUACAAAUAAGAUCUUGGUAGUUAAAGGGUUAACUGUGCAGACAAAUUUACUAUUUACAUGUUUCGUUCAGAUUUCCCUCAAUUCAAGAUUAAAGCCCAAAACCGAUCAGCCCCUCUUAACUCUUAAAAAAAAAAAGUGUAACCCUUUACACCCUAAGAUUGACCAGCAUCUAAUUUCCUCUCACAUCAUCAUCAUCCCUGAAUCACUCCCUA